CUCUUUCCUAGCUUUUGGUGG
Molecule: non-coding RNA, 21 nt
Filed under: Rattus norvegicus (Norway rat)
Lineage: Eukaryota; Metazoa; Chordata; Mammalia; Rodentia; Muridae
Source: RNAcentral